UCUUUCGAGAGGUAACCUCAUUCAUGAAUCCUAAACUCAUUGUACUUAUUCUACCACCGAAAG
Molecule: transfer RNA, 63 nt
Filed under: Ancistroplax crocidurae
Lineage: Eukaryota; Metazoa; Arthropoda; Insecta; Psocodea; Hoplopleuridae
Description: tRNA-Leu
Source: RNAcentral